UGCUGGAACGCGCCCCAGGCGCACCCAGAAACCCUUUGUGAACUUAUACCUUACUGUUGCCUCGGCGCAUGCCGGCCCCCCUGGGGGCCCCUCCUUCGGGAGGAGCAGGCACGCCGGCGGCCAACCUAACUCUUGUUUUUACACUGAAACUCUGAGAAUAAAACAUAAAUGAAUCAAAACUUUCAACAACGGAUCUCUUGGUUCUGGCAUCGAUGAAGAACGCAGCGAAAUGCGAUAAGUAAUGUGAAUUGCAGAAUUCAGUGAAUCAUCGAAUCUUUGAACGCACAUUGCGCCCUCUGGUAUUCCGGAGGGCAUGCCUGUUCGAGCGUCAUUUCAACACUCAAGCCUGGCUUGGUGAUGGGGCACUGCUUUUACCCAAGGAGCAGGCCCUGAAAUUCAGUGGCGAGCUCGCCAGGACCCCGAGCGCAGUAGUUAAACCCUCGCUCUGGAAGGCCCUGGCGGUGCCCUGCCGUUAAACCCCCAACUUCUGAAAAUUUGACCUCGGAUCAGGUAGGAAUACCCGCUGAACUUAAGCAUA
This 538-nucleotide ribosomal RNA is filed under the name Phomopsis sp. SSLP-2. RNAcentral's name for it is "eukaryotic LSU rRNA". The stretch from base 178 to 331 matches the Rfam family "5.8S ribosomal RNA". Lineage: Eukaryota; Fungi; Ascomycota; Sordariomycetes; Diaporthales; Diaporthaceae. The record is from RNAcentral.